Molecule: non-coding RNA, 884 nt
Organism: Odocoileus virginianus texanus
Lineage: Eukaryota; Metazoa; Chordata; Mammalia; Artiodactyla; Cervidae
Source: RefSeq, a predicted model, not a curated record
CCCGCACCCAGGCGGUCUCUGCAGUGAACCAGACGCCAGACCCGAGGCCAACUGGGAGGCUGAGUCGGACGUAAAUAGGACGUCCCAGCCAGUGUCGCCUGCGGCGCUGAGAAGACGAGGAAAGGCCAGAUCUUCGCCGCCGAGGGAUGUGAGUGAGAGCCGAACCCGCACGGGAGGGCCCCCGAGGUCUCAGCCUGGGGUACACUCGGACCUUUGCCUGCUCCAGGGGCUUCGCAGACCGUGGCCAGCCGGAGGCACCGGGUUUCGGAGGCAGGCAAGGCAACAAGAUGUGAUCUGUUUCUCUUCUUCAUCCCCUUUCCCCGAAGGUUUAGAUCUAUUUUUCUGGACCUGAUAUCAUCCUCUUUUUGGAUUUACUCUUCUGGUGUGGUGUCUUACAUCUUACGACUUCAAUGUUGCUUUGGAGGUAUCCUGAAGGAGGAAGUAGCAAGGAAAAAAACGUGCACUUUAUAGCUAAAUUACCAAGGAGUGGACUUGUUGGAUCGCGGUGUGAAUGCAAAUGUUCUGAAAACAACUGUGCAUGGGAAUGGCUUGCCUUACAAUGAUAGAAAUGGAAGAAACAUCCACAUCCCCUGUACAUCAGAAUGGUGAUAUUUCUGGAAAUGCUAGUUCUGUGAAGCAAAUAGAUCCAGUCCUACAGGUCUAUCUUUAUCAUUCCCUUGGGAAAGCUGAGGGGGAUUAUCUGAAGUUUCCAACUGGAGAGUAUGUUGCUGAAGAAAUUUGUGUUGCUGCUUCUAAAGCUUGUGGAAUCACACCUGUAUAUCAUAGUAUGUUUGCUUUAAUGAGUGAAACAGAAAGGAUCUGGUAUCCGCCCAACCAUGUCUUCCAUAUAGAUGAAUCAACCAGGCAAAAUGUACUCUACAGAA